Coffea arabica (coffee) is the source of this 1063-nucleotide non-coding RNA. NCBI's taxonomy places the organism in Eukaryota, Viridiplantae, Streptophyta, Magnoliopsida, Gentianales, Rubiaceae. The record is from RefSeq and is a predicted model, not a curated record.
GCCAGGUAUAGUUUUCUCUCCAUAGAUUUGCCGCUGCUCCUUUCUUCUUUCUUUUCCGUUCUUCCUCCCAUCCUGUUUUCUCCCUUAUUUCCUUCUGCUACCUUAUCUUUCGUCUUCCCUCCUCUUCAACAUCAUCUUGCCUCCCUUCCCUCUCCCUUUUCGAAACAGAACGGAAAAAAGGUAGAAGGACACGAGGUAGGAGAAUUGAAUCUAUCCCCAACUAUUUGAAAGAGAUGACCAGUGGGAUGCUGCUUGUGGAUUUCUCAGUAUCUGAUCUCAUCAAUUUUUUGGGUUUUCUUUUAUAGUGGUGCUGCAAUUGGACAUUUCUUUGGUUCUUUUCCCUUACACGUUUGUCUCAUCAAUUUAUUGGAAGCGGUUUAGGUUGUUAUGUGAUAAUGUAAUGAGUUUACAUUUGUUUAGAUUGAGAUUGAUUUUCGGAUGAAUUUCAUGUUCAAGAUGGAAAAAAUCUACUUGAUUACGUGGCUGAACAUAUUCAAUAGCUCCAGUAGCUAUUAGCUGUUGAGGAGUUAGGUCUAUCUUUGCAAAUGCUAAUAUCAUCAAAGAAUGGAAGCAAGAGGUAGAGCAAUACCAAAGAAAAAUUCAGUUGUAAGCAAGUUCUUUACAAUAUAUCGUACAUUUGGACUUGGGUGACUAUUUUUGUUAAGUGGUUAGACUGGUUUGUUUUAUAUAAAUAUAAUAGGAGCAACAUUGAUAGUUUGAUCACAGGAAGUUUCAAAGUAUGCUUGAUUGUUCCCUUGAGGAAAGCACGACUCCAACGAUAGUAUUGCCGAAUGGGAGCAAAAUUUAUGUCUUCGAAAUGAUAAAAAAGAAUUUCCAUCAAAACCGGAAUUUGUGGCUGAUCAUUCUCUUGAAGAAGGCGUAAUACUUGUUUUUCUUCCUCCAUCCAGCAAUUCUUUUGCUGCUGUUGUCUUUAACAAAAAGGAAUUGAAAAUAUGUAUCUAUGGCAUUAUAAAAUUUGUAAUUUGAUUGUGGUUAGCACAUGUUGCUUUCUUGUGAACCUCUUCUCCAUUAAGUUAUUUUAUUGUUAGUUCUUCCUUAGCUA